This 806-nucleotide ribosomal RNA is filed under the name uncultured Paracoccaceae bacterium. Its description in RNAcentral is "bacterial SSU rRNA". It matches the Rfam family "Bacterial small subunit ribosomal RNA", at positions 35 to 888 of the family's 1533-position model. Lineage: Bacteria; Pseudomonadati; Pseudomonadota; Alphaproteobacteria; Rhodobacterales; Paracoccaceae. The record is from RNAcentral.
GCUGGCGGCAGGCCUUAUACAUGCAAGUCGAGCGCAUCCUUCGGGAUGAGCGGCGGACGGGUGAGUAACGCGUGGGAAUGUGCCCUUCUCUACGGAAUAGCCACUGGAAACGGUGAGUAAUACCGUAUACGCCCUCAGGGGGAAAGAUUUAUCGGAGAAGGAUCAGCCCGCGUUAGAUUAGGUAGUUGGUGGGGUAAUGGCCUACCAAGCCUACGAUCUAUAGCUGGUUUUAGAGGAUGAUCAGCCACACUGGGACUGAGACACGGCCCAGACUCCUACGGGAGGCAGCAGUAGGGAAUCUUGGACAAUGGGGGCAACCCUGAUCCAGCCAUGCCGCGUGAGUGAAGAAGGCCCUAGGGUCGUAAAGCUCUUUCGCCUGUGAUGAUAAUGACAGUAGCAGGUAAAGAAACCCCGGCUAACUCCGUGCCAGCAGCCGCGGUAAUACGGAGGGGGUUAGCGUUGUUCGGAAUUACUGGGCGUAAAGCGCGCGUAGGCGGAUUGGAAAGUUGGGGGUGAAAUCCCGGGGCUCAACCCCGGAACUGCCUUCAAAACUCCCAGUCUAGAGUUCGAGAGAGGUGAGUGGAAUUCCGAGUGUAGAGGUGAAAUUCGUAGAUAUUCGGAAGAACACCAGUGGCGAAGGCGGCUCACUGGCUCGAUACUGACGCUGAGGUGCGAAAGUGUGGGGAGCAAACAGGAUUAGAUACCCUGGUAGUCCACACCGUAAACGAUGAAUGCCAGUCGUCGGAUAGUAUACUAUUCGGUGACACACCUAACGGAUUAAGCAUUCCGCCUGGGGAGUACGGUCG